ACAGACGGAAGGAAGGAGGGCGACGAGAAGCCGCUGGGGCGGGAGCGAGGCCGUGGUGUGGCGUGAGAGCGGCGCGAAGCCGCGAGCAAGAAGCGGCGGCGGGCACCGGGCUGGGGGCGCGCACCGACACGCGGGCAGAUGCCACGUUUCCUGCCUCUGGAAAAGCCCGCUUCCUCACAAUAGGAAGACUGUUAACAAAAAGGCUUUCGCCCAGCCGCUGCGUUCGAGAAAAUCCGGCUUAAUAGACUCUUCAUCUCAUUGGCUCAUUUCUCUUGACCGCCUGAAGACCAUCGUGUUUUCACAAGGUGUCAGGAUCCCCAGAGUGAGGACCUGCCUCCAUAUCUCCUCUUGGAUACUAGGCCAAUCAUUGGCAUUAAGGAACAGCUUAAACCAUCUGGUGAUGUGCUGGGCCUGGUAAGAGAAUAACCGGACCAUACCCCAAAGGUGCUGCAAGACCUACCCAGCAUAUACUGGCAGGAGCCAGACAGCAUGUGUGGGAUUGGAUUCUGAGGGUACCAGAUCAAGAGGGCCAAAACAUAAAAUU
This is a long non-coding RNA of Leptonychotes weddellii (Weddell seal), 544 nucleotides long. RefSeq lists it as uncharacterized. Lineage: Eukaryota; Metazoa; Chordata; Mammalia; Carnivora; Phocidae. The record is from RefSeq and is a predicted model, not a curated record.